RNAcentral lists this ribosomal RNA (872 nucleotides) under uncultured marine group I thaumarchaeote. RNAcentral describes it as "SSU rRNA". It matches the Rfam family "Archaeal small subunit ribosomal RNA", at positions 28 to 906 of the family's 1478-position model. The record is from RNAcentral. Lineage: Archaea; Thermoproteati; Nitrososphaerota.
UGCUAUCGGAUGAUACUAAGCCAUGCGAGUCUUUGUAGUAAUACAAGGCAGACGGCUCAGUAACACGUAAUCAACCUACCCUAUGGACAAGAAUAAUCUCGGGAAACUGGGCAUAAUUCUUGAUAGAUCAUAAUGCCUGGAAUGGUUUAUGGUUAAAAUGAUUCGUCGCCAUAGGAUGGGACUGCGGCCUAUCAGCUUGUUGGUGAGGUAAUGGCCCACCAAGGCGAUUACAGGUACGGGCUCUGAGAGGAGAAGCCCGGAGAUGGGUACUGAGACACGGACCCAGGCCCUAUGGGGCGCAGCAGGCGAGAAAACUUUGCAAUGUGCGAAAGCACGACAAGGUUAAUCCGAGUGAUUUCUGCUAAAGAAAUCUUUUGCCAGUCGUAAAACCGCUGGUGAAUAAGGGGUGGGCAAGUUCUGGUGUCAGCCGCCGCGGUAAAACCAGCACCUCAAGUGGUCAGGAUGAUUAUUGGGCCUAAAGCAUCCGUAGCCGGCUUUGUAAGUUUUCGGUUAAAUCCAUGUGCUCAACGCAUGGGCUGCCGAAAAUACUGCAUAGCUAGGGAGUGGGAGAGGUAGACGGUACUCAGUAGGUAGGGGUAAAAUCCUUUGAUCUAUUGAUGACCACCUGUGGCGAAGGCGGUCUACCAGAACACGUUCGACGGUGAGGGAUGAAAGCUGGGGGAGCAAACCGGAUUAGAUACCCGGGUAGUCCCAGCUGUAAACGAUGCAGACUAGAUGAUGCAUUGGCAUAAUAGCCAUUGCAGUGUCUCAGGGAAGCCGUUAAGUCUGCCGCCUGGGAAGUACGUACGCAAGUAUGAAACUUAAAGGAAUUGGCGGGGGAGCACCACAAGGGGUGAAGCCUGCGGUUCAAU